Molecule: ribosomal RNA, 467 nt
Filed under: uncultured bacterium
Lineage: Bacteria
Description: partial 16S ribosomal RNA
Rfam family: Bacterial small subunit ribosomal RNA
Source: RNAcentral
ACGAACGCUGGCGGCGUGCUUAACCCCUGCAAGUCGAACGGAAAGGCCCUGCUUUUGUGGGGUGCUCGAGUGGCGAACGGGUGAGUAACACGUGAGUAACCUGCCCUUGACUUUGGGAUAACUUCAGGAAACUGGGGCUAAUACCGGAUAGGAGCUCCUGCUGCAUGGUGGGGGUUGGAAAGUUUCGGCGGUUGGGGAUGGACUCGCGGCUUAUCAGCUUGUUGGUGGGGUAGUGGCUUACCAAGGCUUUGACGGGUAGCCGGCCUGAGAGGGUGACCGGCCACAUUGGGACUGAGAUACGGCCCAGACUCCCACGGGAGGCAGCAGUGGGGAAUAUUGCACAAUGGGCGGAAGCCUGAUGCAGCAACGCCGCGUGCGGGAUGACGGCCUUCGGGUUGUAAACCGCUUUCGCCUGUGACGAAGCGUGAGUGACGGUAAUGGGUAAAGAAGCACCGGCUAACUACGUG